GUGGUUGGUUGCGGAGGUUUGAAGAUUGGAUGCUUGAGGUGGCUGCGGCUCAAGAUCUGGAGGAGAUGUUAUCUGACGUCGAAGCUUCUGUUGGCGACUUGAUUAGUGCGAAGGAGUUUGAGGAGAUGUGUGCGAUCACUUUUGAGUUUGGUGAGUCGACUGUCAGGACGGAGGAUAUUGCCGAUAUGGUUGAAGCUAGGUUUUUCAAGGAUGGCCG
Molecule: long non-coding RNA, 217 nt
Filed under: Sorghum bicolor (sorghum)
Lineage: Eukaryota; Viridiplantae; Streptophyta; Magnoliopsida; Poales; Poaceae
Description: long non-coding RNA (SBIC_LNC003633)
Source: RNAcentral